This 531-nucleotide ribosomal RNA is filed under the name uncultured bacterium. RNAcentral's name for it is "bacterial SSU rRNA". It matches the Rfam family "Bacterial small subunit ribosomal RNA", at positions 777 to 1308 of the family's 1533-position model. The record is from RNAcentral.
AAUAGAUACCCAGGUAGUCCACGCCGUAAACGAUGUCGACUUGGAGGUUGUUCCCUUGAGGAGUGGCUUCCGGAGCUAACGCGUUAAGUCGACCGCCUGGGGAGUACGGCCGCAAGGUUAAAACUCAAAUGAAUUGACGGGGGCCCGCACAAGCGGUGGAGCAUGUGGUUUAAUUCGAUGCAACGCGAAGAACCUUACCUACUCUUGACAUCCAGAGAACUUAGCAGAGAUGCUUUGGUGCCUUCGGGAACUCUGAGACAGGUGCUGCAUGGCUGUCGUCAGCUCGUGUUGUGAAAUGUUGGGUUAAGUCCCGCAACGAGCGCAACCCUUAUCCCUUGUUGCCAGCGGUUCGGCCGGGAACUCAAAGGAGACUGCCAGUGAUAAACUGGAGGAAGGUGGGGAUGACGUCAAGUCAUCAUGGCCCUUACGAGUAGGGCUACACACGUGCUACAAUGGCGUAUACAAAGAGAAGCGACCUCGCGAGAGCAAGCGGACCUCAUAAAGUACGUCGUAGUCCGGAUUGGAGUCUGC